RNAcentral lists this ribosomal RNA (441 nucleotides) under uncultured bacterium. Its description in RNAcentral is "bacterial SSU rRNA". It matches the Rfam family "Bacterial small subunit ribosomal RNA", at positions 339 to 796 of the family's 1533-position model. The record is from RNAcentral.
GUACGGGAGGCAGCAGUGGGGAAUAUUGCACAAUGGGCGAAAGCCUGAUGCAGCAACGCCGCGUGCGGGAAGAAGGCCUUAGGGUUGUAAACCGCUUUCAGCAGGGAAGAAACUGACGGUACCUGCAGAAGAAGGUGCGGCCAACUACGUGCCAGCAGCCGCGGUGACACGUAGGCACCAAGCGUUGUCCGGAUUUAUUGGGCGUAAAGAGCUCGUAGGCGGUUCAGUAAGUCGGGUGUGAAAACUCUGGGCUCAACCCAGAGACGCCACCCGAUACUGCUGUGACUUGAGUACGGUAGGGGAGUGGGGAAUUCCUGGUGUAGCGGUGAAAUGCGCAGAUAUCAGGAGGAACACCAGUGGCGAAGGCGCCACUCUGGGCCGUAACUGACGCUGAGGAGCGAAAGCGUGGGUAGCAAACAGGAUUAGAUACCCCGGUAGUCC